AUGACAGGAGGUCACUGGCCGGGGAAGGGACUGGCUCCGGCCGCUCCAACCGCGGCCCCGCCGAGGCCGCAGGCCCGGCCACCGCUGCCCAGACGCGCCCUUCUCCGGGCCGUACCAGCGGGAGUCCAGCUCCGGGACCGACUCCCCCGCCGCGACGCCAUGUCCCGGCCACCGGCACCGCCUCGGGCACCGGGCGAGCACCGAGCGGCCUCCAAACGGGCACCGAGCGGGCACCCGGCGGGCACCGAGCGGCCUCCGGGGCACCGCCCCCUGCUGGGGCUCCGCGGAACCGCUCCGCCGGGCGGGGCGCGCCGCGCGCAUGCGCAGCCCCCGGCACGCAUGCGCCAUGGACACACAGGAACGCACCGGGGCGCCGAGACAGCCGGGACACCGAGGACCCUGGGGCUGCGGGACACCGGGGACACCGGGGACGUGGGACACUGGGCGACUAGGGACACCAGGGUGCCGGGACACUGGGAUCCAGGACACCGCGUGGCAGCGGGAUACCCGGACACAGCGGGAUACUGGGGCGCCGGGACUCCGGGAUACCCGGACACCAGGGACACUGGGGACAUUGGAACACCGGGGCUCCGGGGACAGCAGGGACACCAGGAUCCUGGGCGACUAGGAACACCAGGGCGCCGGGAUACAGGGACCUACCCUGCAGUAACACCUCCCCCUGGCCGGCGCCCCUGCCCCAACACCCCUCAGCCAGCACACUGCUCCUGUGGUUUAUUAUCCAUUGUGGCCGCUUACAGCCCUCGCGUCCCGGCCACCGGCUCGGUCCCCCGCCGGGGUCCCCCUCGGUGGGCGCCGGGCAGCGCCCAGCACCCGCUGCAGCUGCCAGAGCAGGUCGGGCAGCAGCGAGUCCAGCACGGCCAGGCCGGCCCAGGUGCACCGCAGGCCACUGGGGAAGAGGUGGUAGUGAGCCCCGGUGCCCCGGGGAGACCCCCGGUCCUGCCCACGGUUCCUCGGGGCUCACCCGCUGUCCAGGACGAGCCAGCCCUGCUGCUGCAGUGCCCGAGCCUCCCCCGGCGCCCCGAACACGGCCUGCAGGCUGAGCUGGGGGGAGAAGUGCCCCCAGCGCUGUGUGCCCAGGGCGAGAGAAGGAUGUUAGUGAUGGGGCAUCAACAUCCCAGUGCCCAAAGGGCUGAAGAGGGGCUUUGGACAAGGGAGUGGAGUGACAGGAAAAGGGAGGAAUGGAUGGAAAGGGCAGAUUUGGAUUAG
Molecule: long non-coding RNA, 1227 nt
Filed under: Corvus moneduloides (New Caledonian crow)
Lineage: Eukaryota; Metazoa; Chordata; Aves; Passeriformes; Corvidae
Description: lncRNA (ENSCMUG00000018397.1)
Source: RNAcentral